CAGUAGCCGCGGUAAUACGAAGGGUGCAAGCGUUAAUCGGAAUUACUGGGCGUAAAGCGCGCGUAGGUGGUUCAUUAAGUUGGAUGUGAAAGCCCUGGGCUCAACCUGGGAACUGCAUCCAAAACUGGUGAGCUAGAGUACGGUAGAGGGUAGUGGAAUUUCCUGUGUAGCGGUGAAAUGCGUAGAUAUAGGAAGGAACACCAGUGGCGAAGGCGACUACCUGGACUGAUACUGACACUGAGGUGCGAAAGCGUGGGGAACAAACAGGAUUAGAGACCCCAGUAGUCCCUGUCUCUUAUAC
This 301-nucleotide ribosomal RNA is filed under the name uncultured bacterium. Its description in RNAcentral is "partial 16S ribosomal RNA". It matches the Rfam family "Bacterial small subunit ribosomal RNA", at positions 509 to 807 of the family's 1533-position model. The record is from RNAcentral.